UACGGAGGGUCCAAGCAUUAAUCGGAUUUACUGGGCGUAAAGGGCGCGUAGGCGGAUAUAUAAGUCAGAUGUGAAAUUUCGGUGCUCAACAUCGAAGCUGCAUUUGAAACUGUAAAUCUAGAGGAUGGAAGGAGAAAACGGAAUUCCACGUGUAGCGGUGAAAUGCGUAGAUAUGUGGAAGAACACCUGUGGCGAAAGCGGUUUUCUAUUUUAUUCCUGACGCUGAGGCGCGAGAGCAAGGGGAGCAAACAGG
Molecule: ribosomal RNA, 253 nt
Filed under: uncultured bacterium
Lineage: Bacteria
Description: partial 16S ribosomal RNA
Rfam family: Bacterial small subunit ribosomal RNA
Source: RNAcentral